UAUUGAAUUCAUAUUUUUAGGGUAAGCUAAUCAAAAGACAAAAAAGAAGGCUUCAAAAAUAUAAAAUGUCCGGACACCUGACCCUACAUCCUACGAAACAGAUUACCACAUCUACAGUUAGGCCUAUAAUCUGGAUCUGGAUGUGUACGAUGCAGGGCCCUCCUGGGCAUGAACGCAUCGGAUGAGCCUGAGAUCGGGGCUACUGGAAGAAGUCACUACGCAACAGAUUCAGGAAUUGCAGGAAAUGUCAUGAACGUGAUAAUCCAUUAGGACAAAUGGAAGCAAAGAAAGGGGACUACACCCAAACCAGACAAAGCUGCAGGCAAACACAUGUAUGGCAUAAAGAAAGUACCUUCCUGCAUCCCCAGAAAGUGAGGAUGAAGAAACGAUCAAUGCUCACAUCAAGAUGCUUCAGAAUGAAUCCAGAAAAACAAGACAGGACAGCUUGAUGAUAGACAAUCUACUAACUUAUGCCCAUAGGCGCAAGGGUAUCAUCAACAGCAACUGGACUGAAUCCUACUUGAAGGAUAUGUACCCUUACCUUUUCCAUGAAGAUGAGAGUUUGAGAGACUGUCAGAGGACCCAACUAAGCAGAAGUUGGAAGCAGGACAUUUGAAUAUGCUGAUCCAUUACUAGAGAUAUGCAAGACUCCCAAGCAAGGUUUGGAGCUCAAACACCUGAUCUUGGCUGCAGCAGCAGAAAAUGAAGACACCAGGAAAAUGAUCAAAUCAUGUGGAGCACUUCUGUUGAUUCCUACUAUUUUUGGAGAGAAGGCAUUGCUUUGUCAGCAUAGCCAGGAUAAAAAACGGACCAAUCGCCAAAAUCAUCUACAAAAGUAAGCCCGACAGUGCAGGUCUGACUCUGAGCAGUGAUCAUGAAAAAUUCACGGAAAUUCUGCAAUCAUCCUAUAUUACAGCAGAGAAUGAAGUCAUUUAUGAGAAAACCACCUACCUCAUGUCAGCAGUCUCUCUGCUUAUGUCGGCCCAUUAUGUAUUCAACUGAUCAUACACCCCCAAGAUGGGUAACACCCUCACAUUCAUUCAGAAGAUUCUGAUGAACAUAGAUUCCACAUCUCAACCCUCAUCCAAGGUCGUAAGAAGCCUGUAUGACUUAAAUGCUGUCCGAAAUGCUGAUGCCAGUAGUUCUUCAGUUUAAUAGAAAUUAAUUACUUGGGUGAUGCUACUGCAACACAGCUGAUCACACUUUCUCUACGUGCAAUCACCUUAGGUGUUGUAUCUGUCUUUUAUGUGCAAAAUAGAUUGAAAUAGAUACGACAGGUUGACCGUGAAUUUAGACAUCAAGUAUGUGCAUUAUUUCGCUUUGCUUCAGUACAAUUUCAGUGGCCCUUGAAUUGGAAAUCUUUUCAUAUCCCAAGAAUUACAUAUAAAUGCUUAAUGAAAUUUUUGUCACAGAUAAAAUAGGAUUUUGCACACACAAAAAAGAAAAGAUAUUUGGACCCAAAAUUUUUACAGAUCAGAUGGUCAACAAUUUUUUUUUUUUGGGGGGGGGGGGAAUUGAAGACUAAGCUAUUCAUAUUCUACUUUUUGAUUUUUGUACACAUUUUGUUACUGUACAUGUAAAUAAGUUUAACACCACAAAUUUGAAGAAUUACAACAUUUUAAAGGUUCUCUAUGGAAUUUUAGUUAGUUUGUAAGUUUCAAGCAACUUAGUAUUUAAUUCCAAGAAUUAUACAAAGGCACUUUUCAAGAUUAUGGCUUCCAACAUCAGUACAUGAUGGAAACAAUUCUCAAUGUUUACAUUUAUUGAGAUGGUAAGCACAUGCAACUGAUUUGAAACUAAUUUUAUAAAUUUGACAAAGCACUGCCAUUAAUUUUAAGCCAAUCUGCACACUUCCAAGCAUGUCAAAGGUAUUGCUUAAUAGCCCAAUCACCACAAUUAUCAUUGCCUUUAAAAAAAAUUGCACAAAUAUAUUUAAAUAGAAAAGGUCAGUAUCUGCUUGAAGAUACAGCUGCUAUAGGAGGCAGAUUUUGCGGAAAAUACCAGGGCUUCACAGUGAGAGAAUGGGGGAUUCUGCGAAGUGCUUUAAGAAUUAAUUGAGAAUCCAAAUUGCACAUUUUGAAAUUGUCUUUUGUACUAUUAGUAGUAAAAUAUUUUUGUGGGUUUUCCUACAGCAAAAAUUGACAUUUGGGGAAUUCCCGUGUCAUGCAUGGGGAUUCUUAAAUUUAAAUUGUGUUUGUACGUAUGCUUAAGUUUGAAAAAUUGACGUUUUGUGACAGCUUUAUCUUUGUUUAGUCGGUUAAACCAUGUUGCCAAUCAGUUAUAAAAUCUAUCACUCUCUCUUGAUAGUUUUAUUUUUUAUUUGAUGAGAGGUAGCAGUGCACUUAUUUACAUGUUUGGUGACUGGAUUCUAUGCUUGAGAAUAGAUUUUAUUAUAGAAAGAAAUGCACAGCAACCAUAAUUAUUUUUCAAGUAAACUCUUAAACAUUUAUCCCAUGAAACACAUUUCUGUCUGUUGUGGUUACAUCACGGAUGCAUAAUGGUCACUUUUGUUUUGGUAAUAUUGAUGGUGACUCCGGAGAUUUAUUGUUGAGAGGAAAUAAAUCAGAUGGCAUGUACAAUGCA
Molecule: long non-coding RNA, 2583 nt
Filed under: Lytechinus variegatus (green sea urchin)
Lineage: Eukaryota; Metazoa; Echinodermata; Echinoidea; Temnopleuroida; Toxopneustidae
Description: uncharacterized LOC121418833, transcript variant X1
Source: RNAcentral